This 2925-nucleotide ribosomal RNA is filed under the name Escherichia coli. RNAcentral's name for it is "partial 23S ribosomal RNA". It matches the Rfam family "Bacterial large subunit ribosomal RNA". Lineage: Bacteria; Pseudomonadati; Pseudomonadota; Gammaproteobacteria; Enterobacterales; Enterobacteriaceae. The record is from RNAcentral.
GGGUUGUGAGGUUAAGCGACUAAGCGUACACGGUGGAUGCCCUGGCAGUCAGAGGCGAUGAAGGACGUGCUAAUCUGCGAUAAGCGUCGGUAAGGUGAUAUGAACCGUUAUAACCGGCGAUUUCCGAAUGGGGAAACCCAGUGUGAUUCGUCACACUAUCAUUAACUGAAUCCAUAGGUUAAUGAGGCGAACCGGGGGAACUGAAACAUCUAAGUACCCCGAGGAAAAGAAAUCAACCGAGAUUCCCCCAGUAGCGGCGAGCGAACGGGGAGCAGCCCAGAGCCUGAAUCAGUGUGUGUGUUAGUGGAAGCGUCUGGAAAGGCGUGCGAUACAGGGUGACAGCCCCGUACACAAAAAUGCACAUAUUGUGAGCUCGAUGAGUAGGGCGGGACACGUGGUAUCCUGUCUGAAUAUGGGGGGACCAUCCUCCAAGGCUAAAUACUCCUGACUGACCGAUAGUGAACCAGUACCGUGAGGGAAAGGCGAAAAGAACCCCGGCGAGGGGAGUGAAAAAGAACCUGAAACCGUGUACGUACAAGCAGUGGGAGCACGCUUAGGCGUGUGACUGCGUACCUUUUGUAUAAUGGGUCAGCGACUUAUAUUCUGUAGCAAGGUUAACCGAAUAGGGGAGCCGAAGGGAAACCGAGUCUUAACUGGGCGUUAAGUUGCAGGGUAUAGACCCGAAACCCGGUGAUCUAGCCAUGGGCAGGUUGAAGGUUGGGUAACACUAACUGGAGGACCGAACCGACUAAUGUUGAAAAAUUAGCGGAUGACUUGUGGCUGGGGGUGAAAGGCCAAUCAAACCGGGAGAUAGCUGGUUCUCCCCGAAAGCUAUUUAGGUAGCGCCUCGUGAAUUCAUCUCCGGGGGUAGAGCACUGUUUCGGCAAGGGGGUCAUCCCGACUUACCAACCCGAUGCAAACUGCGAAUACCGGAGAAUGUUAUCACGGGAGACACACGGCGGGUGCUAACGUCCGUCGUGAAGAGGGAAACAACCCAGACCGCCAGCUAAGGUCCCAAAGUCAUGGUUAAGUGGGAAACGAUGUGGGAAGGCCCAGACAGCCAGGAUGUUGGCUUAGAAGCAGCCAUCAUUUAAAGAAAGCGUAAUAGCUCACUGGUCGAGUCGGCCUGCGCGGAAGAUGUAACGGGGCUAAACCAUGCACCGAAGCUGCGGCAGCGACGCUUAUGCGUUGUUGGGUAGGGGAGCGUUCUGUAAGCCUGUGAAGGUGUACUGUGAGGUAUGCUGGAGGUAUCAGAAGUGCGAAUGCUGACAUAAGUAACGAUAAAGCGGGUGAAAAGCCCGCUCGCCGGAAGACCAAGGGUUCCUGUCCAACGUUAAUCGGGGCAGGGUGAGUCGACCCCUAAGGCGAGGCCGAAAGGCGUAGUCGAUGGGAAACAGGUUAAUAUUCCUGUACUUGGUGUUACUGCGAAGGGGGGACGGAGAAGGCUAUGUUGGCCGGGCGACGGUUGUCCCGGUUUAAGCGUGUAGGCUGGUUUUCCAGGCAAAUCCGGAAAAUCAAGGCUGAGGCGUGAUGACGAGGCACUACGGUGCUGAAGCAACAAAUGCCCUGCUUCCAGGAAAAGCCUCUAAGCAUCAGGUAACAUCAAAUCGUACCCCAAACCGACACAGGUGGUCAGGUAGAGAAUACCAAGGCGCUUGAGAGAACUCGGGUGAAGGAACUAGGCAAAAUGGUGCCGUAACUUCGGGAGAAGGCACGCUGAUAUGUAGGUGAAGUCCCUCGCGGAUGGAGCUGAAAUCAGUCGAAGAUACCAGCUGGCUGCAACUGUUUAUUAAAAACACAGCACUGUGCAAACACGAAAGUGGACGUAUACGGUGUGACGCCUGCCCGGUGCCGGAAGGUUAAUUGAUGGGGUCAGCGCAAGCGAAGCUCUUGAUCGAAGCCCCGGUAAACGGCGGCCGUAACUAUAACGGUCCUAAGGUAGCGAAAUUCCUUGUCGGGUAAGUUCCGACCUGCACGAAUGGCGUAAUGAUGGCCAGGCUGUCUCCACCCGAGACUCAGUGAAAUUGAACUCGCUGUGAAGAUGCAGUGUACCCGCGGCAAGACGGAAAGACCCCGUGAACCUUUACUAUAGCUUGACACUGAACAUUGAGCCUUGAUGUGUAGGAUAGGUGGGAGGCUUUGAAGUGUGGACGCCAGUCUGCAUGGAGCCGACCUUGAAAUACCACCCUUUAAUGUUUGAUGUUCUAACGUGGACCCGUGAUCCGGGUUGCGGACAGUGUCUGGUGGGUAGUUUGACUGGGGCGGUCUCCUCCUAAAGAGUAACGGAGGAGCACGAAGGUUGGCUAAUCCUGGUCGGACAUCAGGAGGUUAGUGCAAUGGCAUAAGCCAGCUUGACUGCGAGCGUGACGGCGCGAGCAGGUGCGAAAGCAGGUCAUAGUGAUCCGGUGGUUCUGAAUGGAAGGGCCAUCGCUCAACGGAUAAAAGGUACUCCGGGGAUAACAGGCUGAUACCGCCCAAGAGUUCAUAUCGACGGCGGUGUUUGGCACCUCGAUGUCGGCUCAUCACAUCCUGGGGCUGAAGUAGGUCCCAAGGGUAUGGCUGUUCGCCAUUUAAAGUGGUACGCGAGCUGGGUUUAGAACGUCGUGAGACAGUUCGGUCCCUAUCUGCCGUGGGCGCUGGAGAACUGAGGGGGGCUGCUCCUAGUACGAGAGGACCGGAGUGGACGCAUCACUGGUGUUCGGGUUGUCAUGCCAAUGGCACUGCCCGGUAGCUAAAUGCGGAAGAGAUAAGUGCUGAAAGCAUCUAAGCACGAAACUUGCCCCGAGAUGAGUUCUCCCUGACUCCUUGAGAGUCCUGAAGGAACGUUGAAGACGACGACGUUGAUAGGCCGGGUGUGUAAGCGCAGCGAUGCGUUGAGCUAACCGGUACUAAUGAACCGUGAGGCUUAACCUUACAACGCCGAAG